This 3330-nucleotide long non-coding RNA is filed under the name Gallus gallus (chicken). RNAcentral describes it as "long non-coding RNA NONGGAT005845". Lineage: Eukaryota; Metazoa; Chordata; Aves; Galliformes; Phasianidae. The record is from RNAcentral.
ACUUGGUCUUGCUGGCCACAGACUUACUUCUCGCAACGAUCCUUUCUUGCCUCCUUUAUGCCUUUGCAUUCGUUUCCAUUGCUGUUUUUACCUGCUUCAUUAUCUUCUGGUCCUUCGGCGUCGUGGAGAAGAACAUUGACAUAAAAGGGAGAGCAAUUGUAAUUCUCGUAUCCAACAGCUCAAUUGGGAGGACGUUUGCUAGGAACUUGGAUAAAGCAGGUUUUAGGGUGUCUGCUGCACACUGGCCUCCUCAAGAGGAGGGAACAACUGCGAAAGAAGAGUGCUCUUCAAGAAUGGAGGUAGCACAGCUCCACAUGACAGAUGAUGAGUACCAGAAGACAAUGAAAACCUUCAUAGAAAGCCACUUAUCCCUGAAAGGUGGCAGGAAUGAAAAAUGAUGAAUUCAACGAAAAACAACCAAACAAGCUCUGGUAGUUGGAUGCUUAUGUUCUAUUGGCUCCUGAAGCCUUUAGCGUCCUAAAGCUGCACCCUCCUCAUUUUGCCCCCAGUUGGCUCAGGAAGGGAGCACUCAUCAUGCACGUAUGGGCUGAUGAAGAAGCCAUCAAUCCUGAUAUGGGAAGAAGUGGAACCAGACACGUGCAGGUUACCCGAGAGAAGAACCCCUCAUAAAUGGAAGAAGGUUUUCAGGGUUCCAGGUAGGAACCACUUGUAGCAGCUGAGUGUAAUCAGAUACACUGCAUUUCUCUAGAAAUGUCUAGAUAAGGGAGAAAAAAUAAGUUUGUUUUGUUUUUAUUUUUCCUUAAUAUCUUUCAAAAAUGGUUUUUUUCAUGUCUCAUUGAGUCUUUGGUAUAUUCUAAAACAAAGCCCAUUUUCCUUGGCCAGCACAGUGGGGAAGGAGGUGGGAGGCAGCAUCCAUAACCACCCUAUUAACCCUCUGUUGCUGCUUUCCUUUGCUCCGGUCACACUGGAGGGGCACAGUGCAUAGCUGCACAGUGUGGUUGGAGCUCAGCAUGGGCAGUUCUUUCCCACCCAAGCCCUCGCUCUGUUCCCACAGCCCCCAUAAAAGGGGCACUGCAAUAGGAGUGGGAUGGGAGAGCAGUGUCUCUGUGGUUUGUUCAGCUCUGGUAAUCCAAAGCACAUAAAGGCUGAAAAUGCUUUUCAGGAUGGACUUUUUUUUCCGCACAGAUUAAUAUUUCCUUUCGCUGUUGAGCUUGUGGUUGAGACUGCAGGUUGGUCAAAACUUUUCUGGUUGCAGCCCUCUGCAUCACAGCCCUCUUUUGCCCACUGAACUGUGCCCUGACUUUCCUGAAGAAGAGAGUUCUGCAGCCCCGUAUGCUCUUGAAGCCCAAAAACUGAGGUAAGAUAGCACACUCAUGGCUUAGCUACACACACGUGACAGAGCCAAGCAGCACCUCCUGCAUGGCCAGCUUAGCCCUGCUGGGACAAGGCAAGGACCGGAACACAGCCUGGAAUGGCCUCCUGCACUCUGACACCUGAGGGGUGCUUCCUUUCUGCACCAACCCGGCCCCCUGGCCUGGGGCACAGCACCAUGCAGCCAACCACUUGGCAGAGCCAAGCCAACUUAUGUGAGGCAGAGGAAUUCAAGACAGGCAGUAGUUGUUUUUUAAGCUCUAAACAAAAAUAGUCUGUAGUCUGGUCAUUGCUGGAUCCUCCUUGCCCCAUUGCUGUGUUUUCUCUGCUGCUCUGAUGGCUCCAGUUACACAUACCUAUAAGAACAACUGAAACAGUAUAUUCUUCAAUGUCCCUAAGUGAGACAAAGCACCCUAUUUGUUGAUCCAGGCUAGAAUACAGGAAGAGAAAAGAAAAAAGAAAAAAAAAAAGAGUAAGUUAGUGACAGAGGUGGAUUGCCAAGGAUCCUGGCUGGCUGGUCUGAUCCUUCCCUGGAGAAAGGGAAAGGGCCCCUGGCUCUCCAUCUGCAACUCUCCCAUCAAGUGCCCAGUUCUCAGUAGCAUCUUUGCUUUGAUAUUCCUGAGUUUUGGCUCAGGGCUAUGAGGCACGCUGUAGAUGAUGUGUUGAACAUUAGGUGGAACUGAAGUCUAUUCCUUCCACAGCACGCUCACCAGUGGCUGCUGUGGUGGAAACAACACAGUGCAGGUAUGAUGAGGGAAUGAAUGCAGUAAAAUGGCAUCGUCUGAAUGAAGUCAGAUGAAACAACUGAAUAGCACUAAAGAACUACAACUGUCCUAAUAUUUUUCAGCAGGGAAGGAGACCCAUGGAGCAACACAAAUUAAUAUUCUAAUGUCACAAAAAGAAGACGCUACAGGAAGGAGCACAGCUGGGAUCUAAAAUGAGGGAGAACGAGUAGUGACUUCAGUCACAGGACAACGAAAAACUGCAGAUGAAGACAGAAAGCAACUCCUGAACUGUGAGACAGGUCUCUAACUCACUUUCAAGUCUAAUGUGUAAGCAAGAGGACACUGAUGUUUGGGGUUCUGUUACAAUGCUGCACUGCACACACUAGGAUACACACACACACACACACACACAGAGAAAGAAGGAAAAAAUGACAACAUGAGGUAAAAGAAAAUGAAGGAAUAAUUUCUCUGAGAAGAAAAAUGCAAGGGCUUAGGUUUCUUUAUCUGAAGCCGCAACUAAGAACUACCUGACUGAUGAUAAGAGAUCCAGAAGCUGGAUCCAGAGAGAAAAGGGAAAGCUUUCAGAACUGCUUCUAGAAGGCAUUAAAUCAGCCUGCUAUCCAGCCAGAUUGGAAACAAAUAUUUUAAUUCCAAAACGUCACAGCACUGGGAGAGAAACCUGCUAAAGCAAAAAAAUUCUGAAUGAAAACCUUGUGGUUUUUAGUUUAUGUAUUUGACAAGCAACUCGUUAUACUAACAACACCAAUACUACAUAUUCUGCAGAAUAUUCCAGGAAAGGUGUCCUUUAGCCAGAACCCAGUUUGAGCCAGGGCUCUCAACUCAGUGUGUCACUCCAUUCUGUGCAUGCCACCUUGUGCAAUUUCAGCUGAUAGCCAACAUUUCCUCGCCCAGACUAACACAGAGGACUUGUGUGGGGCACCACCUGCCUAUUGCUUUUCCCCCCUCAAAAGUGACCUUCACUCAAAGGCCAACACCUACUUGUGUACACAGCAGUCUCCGCUGCCUGAAUCUAGAGACACUGUAUGAACAAAGCUCCCAGAGACUCCACUGGAAAUGUUGCUUGCUCAAGGAUGUGAGGAUGGUCCAUGUUUGUUUAUGAAGUUUCCCAGUCCACUGAGAUGCAGAGAACUACUGCAUGCAGGCAUGAAAUUGUGACUGAGAGGAAAUACCACCACAGGAUAAACUACAAUAUAACUGCACUUAAAAGUGUGUUUAGAACAAAUUUGAUAUAGCAAACUAACACUGAAGUUAC